RNAcentral lists this long non-coding RNA (1608 nucleotides) under Apteryx haastii (Great spotted kiwi). RNAcentral's name for it is "lncRNA (ENSAHAG00000014717.1)". The record is from RNAcentral. Lineage: Eukaryota; Metazoa; Chordata; Aves; Apterygiformes; Apterygidae.
ACGCGGGAACUCUGGUGAGUGCGAACUCUGGGGAGGGCGGGAACUCUGGGGAGCGCAGGUAUUCUGGCAAGCGCGAGAACUCUGGCGAAUGUGAACUCUGGCAAGCAUGAGAACCCUGGUGACUGCAAACUCUGGUGAGCAUGAGAACUCUGGGGAGCGUGAACUUUGGUGAGUGCGAACUCUGGGGAGCGCGAGAAAUCUGGGGAGCGCGGGAACUCCUGUGAGUGCGAACUGUGGGGAGCGUGAGAACUCUGGAGAGCGCAAGAAUUCUGGCAAGCGCGAACAUUGGGGAGCGCGGGAGCUCUGGCGAGCGUGAACUCUUGAGAUUCCGCGAACUCUGGCGAAUGCAAACUCUGGCGAAUGCAAACUCUGGCGAGCAUGAGAACUCUGGCGAGCAUGAGAACUCUGGCGAGCGCAAGGACUCUGGUAAGUGCGAACUCUGGUGAACGCAGGAACUGUGGCGAGCGUGGGAACUCUGGGGAGCGCUGGGAACUCUGGCGAGCGUGAAAACUCUUGUGAGCGCAAAUUCUGGCAAGCGCGGGAACUCUGGGGAGCCCGAACUGUGGCGAGCGCACAAACUCUGGGGAGUGCAGGAAUUGUGGCGAGCGCGGGAACUGUGAGGAGCGCGUACUCUGGGGAGCACGAGAACUCUGGCAAGCGCGGGAACUCUGGUGAGUGCAAACUCUGGGGAGCGCGGGAACUCUGGGGAGCGCAGGAACUCUGGGGAGUGCGAGAACUCUGGCGAGCGCAGGAACUCUGGGGAGUGCGAGAACUCUGGCGAGCGCAAACUCUGAUGAGCGUGGGAACUCUGGGGAGCACAAACUCUGGGGAGCGCGAACUCUGGGGAGUGCGUACUCUGGGGAGUGCGAGAACUCUGGCGAGCGUGGGAACUGUGGCGAGCGCGAAUCCUGGUGAGUGUAAACUAUGGCGAGCGCGAACUCUGAUGAGCGUGGAAACUCUGGGGAGCGCAGGAACUCUGGGAAGCRCACAAACUCUUGCGAAUGCGAACUCUGGCAAGAGCGUGAACCCUGGCGAGGGCCAACUCUAGUGAGCGCGAGCACUCAGGUGAGCGCGAGAACUCUGCUGAGCGUUAACUCUGGUGAGUGCAAACUCUGGCGAGCCCAAGAUCUCUCRGGAGGGUGGGAACUCUGGGGAGCACGAGAACUCUGGCGAGCGCGGAAAUUCUGGCAAGCGUGAACUCCAGCGAGCGCRAGAACUCUGGGGACCGCGGGAACUCUGGGGAGCGUGAAAACUCUGGAGAGCGCGAACUCUGGUGAGAGCAAGAACUCUGGCAAGUGCAAACUCUGGCGAGCGCGAGAACUCUGGUGAGUGCGAACUCUGGGGAGCGCGAACUCUGGGGAGCGCAAGAACUCUGGUGAGCGCAGGAACUGUGGCGAGCGCAGGAACUCUGGGAAGCGCGGGAACUCUGGGGAGCGCAAGAAUUCUGGGAAGCAUGGGAAAUCUGGGAGCGCGGGAACUCUGGGGAGCGUGAGAACUCUGGCGAACACAAACUCUGGUGAGUGCAAGAACUCUGAUGAGUGCGAACUCUGCGGAGCGUGGGAACAGGCCUGCCUUUAGGGGCCCGAAACAGGGGCUUUUAGUUGGCUG